GGUGCUGGGUGAUCUAGCAUGUGUUGCAGACACCUGACAGCUUGUGUGAGCAGGCCCGUGGACAUUUCCAGUGUUAUUGAUCAGUGGUAGCUUCGGCUACGUUUCAGUGGUAGCUUCGGCUACAUAUCAGUGUUGCACUUAUGUGCUAAAUCUCUACGUAUCUGUGUAUAUUCCGAGUGUUCAACGGGAUUAAUAAUGAGUUAAAGUGAAUAUGAAAUGAAGUGUGUAUGCAGGUACAUUUGAAAAGAAUGAGCAUAGUGAUAAAGGUUAAGUGUGAAAAUGUAUAUGCAAGUGAAUUGGUAAGAUUGUG
Molecule: long non-coding RNA, 310 nt
Filed under: Gossypium barbadense (sea-island cotton)
Lineage: Eukaryota; Viridiplantae; Streptophyta; Magnoliopsida; Malvales; Malvaceae
Description: long non-coding RNA (GBAR_LNC008002)
Source: RNAcentral